CCUACGGGCGGCAGCAGUGAGGAAUAUUGGUCAAUGGACGAGAGUCUGAACCAGCCAAGUAGCGUGAAGGAUGACUGCCCUAUGGGUUGUAAACUUCUUUUAUAUGGGAAUAAAAUGUUCCACGUGUGGGAUUUUGUAUGUACCAUAUGAAUAAGGAUCGGCUAACUCCGUGCCAGCAGCCGCGGUAAUACGGAGGAUCCGAGCGUUAUCCGGAUUUAUUGGGUUUAAAGGGAGCGUAGGUGGAUUGUUAAGUCAGUUGUGAAAGUUUGCGGCUCAACCGUAAAAUUGCAGUUGAAACUGGCAGUCUUGAGUACAGUAGAGGUGGGCGGAAUUUGUGGUGUAGCGGUGAAAUGCUUAGAUAUCACGAAGAACUCCGAUUGCGAAGGCAGUUCACUGGACUGCAACUGACACUGAGGCUCGAAAGUGUGGGUAUCAAACAGGAUUAGAUACCCCAGUAGUC
Molecule: ribosomal RNA, 460 nt
Filed under: uncultured bacterium
Lineage: Bacteria
Description: partial 16S ribosomal RNA
Rfam family: Bacterial small subunit ribosomal RNA
Source: RNAcentral